GUCUCUGUCUGGAGUCUCUGACAGCUUCCCAUCUUCAGACAGAGUGGGCACAGAAGUUGCGUACUCUGGCAAGCUCAGAGGCCGGCACUCCAUAAAAGAGAAGUGCCCCGUGUAUGUGAGCCGUUAGCGAUCCGCAAGAAGGCUUUUCUUAGUCUUCAUUCUUAGUUAACGUUGAAAUUUAGUGGCAAACUUUAGAAAGAGCCUGCAGUUCCUUUAGGGGCAUGUCCUGAAUGGAGAAAGACAGGAUUCGGGGAGGGAGGAAAAUGUGGGGGAAAGCGGAGAAGAGGGAGAGGGGAAAGAGGAGAGUCAACGCAGGAAGCAACAGACCCCAACUUCAGACCAUUACCGAGGGAGGGAACAAAGGAGGCACGAACCUCCUAACCCCGUAGCAGUGUGAACCUCCACCUAGAAGCUGCAAUGGAGUCCUGAUCUAAGCUAAGCCCAGUUCCCAAAGUCUUUGUGGGGAAAGCAGUCAGGCAGACAACACACCAAGGGUCCCAGGGAUGCUCUUUGAGGAAAGGGUUCAACAGAGAAAGGAAUUGGGAAAAGUUGAGAAUGACCAGGCACAACUCAGCAUGUCCUGACUUCGAGGAAGCCGGAAUCAGCCAUAGUGACUGUGGCUGGACCCCCCUGUACUCCCUCAGCACAAAGAUACCUGGCCUGAGGUUCUGGUGAUGAGACUUGGCCCCUUAGGAACCCAUGGGCCUAAGCCACAGCGUGCACUUUGGGUAACUCAGGGAGGUUUUCUGUAAGACUGCAGCUGUGUGCCAGGAAGACCACACCCACACAUCACAUCUCUUCCUUUCUUUCCCCCUUUGCAUCGCACAUUUCCUAUAAUAUCUCUGGCACGUGGACCUUGCUCAUUAUUCUGCAUGGCACAGGGCAUGGCCUAUUCCUCGUUAGCAUUUCAUAAUGUUUGCUAUUAGAAAGCAAGUCGUGUGACAGGAAGAGAUGUUAUAAACUGAAUGUUUAAUUAAUAGGAGUAAAACUGUGGUCAAUCA
Molecule: long non-coding RNA, 1001 nt
Filed under: Mus pahari (shrew mouse)
Lineage: Eukaryota; Metazoa; Chordata; Mammalia; Rodentia; Muridae
Description: lncRNA (MGP_PahariEiJ_G0005993.1)
Source: RNAcentral